CAUAGCGACUAUCGUGGCAUAUCAAUAAGCGGAGGAAAAGAAACUAACAAGGAUUCCCCUAGUAACGGCGAGUGAAGCGGGAAGAGCUCAGAUUUGAAAUCUUAAAGGGUUUCCCUUUACGAAUUGUAGUUUAAAGAAGUGUUUUCUGUUGGAGUUUCGGUAAAAGUUCUUUGGAAUAGGACAUCAUAGAGGGUGAGAAUCCCGUAUUUGACCGUUACUUUCCAGCUGUGUGAUACACUUUCAAAGAGUCGGAUUGUUUGGGAAUGCAGUCCAAGAUGGGUGGUAAAUUUCAUCUAAAGCUAAAUAUUGGCGAGAGACCGAUAGCGAACAAGUACCGUGAGGGAAAGAUGAAAAGAACUUUGAAAAGAGAGUUAAACAGUACGUGAAAUUGUCAAAAGGGAAGCGUUUGACACCAGUGUUGUUUAGUUGAAAAUCAAUUCAAUAAUUUUUGAUUUUAAGUAGUAUUGACUUCAUCAGCUUGCUGCUUUCUUUUCGAAAAUUAUUGAAUGCACUUUUCAGUUAACAAGUCAACAUCAAUUUCUUUUGUUGUAAAAGGGUAAGAGGAAGGUGGCUUACGCUUCGGCGUAAGUGUUUAUAGCCUUUUACCUCUGCAAUCGGAGAGAUUGAGGUCAGCAGCGUAGACUCCUUCGGGGGUUAGAUACACUUGUGCUAAGCUAUAGCCUUGUAUAGACAACUUGUUGACUAUGCUCAGUCAUGUAGCUUACUCGCAUGUGCUAUUUUACCUACGCUUAGGAUGUUGAUAGUCACAGCGUGUAC
This 777-nucleotide ribosomal RNA is filed under the name uncultured Neocallimastigales. RNAcentral describes it as "partial large subunit ribosomal RNA". It matches the Rfam family "Eukaryotic large subunit ribosomal RNA", at positions 22 to 630 of the family's 3401-position model. The record is from RNAcentral. Lineage: Eukaryota; Fungi; Neocallimastigomycota; Neocallimastigomycetes; Neocallimastigales.